Long non-coding RNA from Physella acuta, 2376 nucleotides. RefSeq lists it as uncharacterized. The record is from RefSeq and is a predicted model, not a curated record. NCBI's taxonomy places the organism in Eukaryota, Metazoa, Mollusca, Gastropoda, Physidae.
UAGCAUGUCAUAUAUUAAAAUUUUAUAUUGUUUGCUAUUUAUUUAAUCGUUGAAACUCUAUGCUUAUCAAUAGACAUCGAAAAUUGGAGGCGCUUUAUAAUAAUUGAUUUUAAAAAUAUUAAAUUGAUUCUUAAAAUAAGUUUAAUAGCCUAAAAUCUUACUUUUUAAUAAAUUGGGUCUAGACUACACCUAGGCCAAGAUAGGCAUAUGAUAUUCUUUUAAAGCUCCGGAAGUUAAUUCUUUUUCUUAUAAAUUUUUUGCCGUAAAAUAUUAAUGUUCUUUGCAUUUUUUUAUAUUCUUGUUUUGUGACAGUUUAUUAAAUGAUGGGGGAAUCUUUUUUAAAAUCCAUAUAGGUGAAAUUUUAUUAUCUUUGUAUUGAACUAUAUUGCGGAUGAAAAAAAGUGCAAUACCGAAAACGUUAGACAUACGUUGAAUCACGAGUCAUUACAGUGCUUCUAAAAAUAAACUAUGAUAUCACUAAAAGCGUUAAAAAUAGAUAUGCAUCCAAUCGUAACAUGUUUUAGGCGUUCUUGGAGUCCGACCAAAACCUAGAACUACGUUUCUGCGGAUGAAUUUAGAGUUUAGGAUAGGCCAAACUAUCAAACUCUACCAACACGACCAGGACGAAAACAACGUUUAGAGUUUAAGCUAGAAGAGUUUUGUCAUAUUCAGGCAAAGUCAGCAUCUGCUUCAUAGUCUUAUGUUCCUGUGGGAUGAAAUAUUAAAUUUGAUAUUUCAUCAUCUAAAGUUCUACAGCUUCCAUAUCUUUGAUUUUUGCUUUGUAUGUGGGACAAAGAGAAAGGUCUUGGUGUGUACAGGAUGACUUAGGGUCAUUGAACAGCUAUGCUCUUCGGCUGUUAUCAGUUUGUGGUGAGUACAGUGAGUCAAUGGUGCCAACAGAUCCGUCCCUAUUUUAUUGACCAGGGUAGCUAAAUAUUCUGGGUUCUGGUAGUUGGCACCUUGGCAAUGACCAGUACUGGUAAUCUUUUAAUUUUAGUGGCACAUAAUGGCUUGAUAUUGAGGUUAGGUCUGCUAACAUUACAUUGUUAGUUACAUGCCAGAUAUUAUAUGGAGUAUGGAUUCCUUAUGGUAUUUGGUUUAUAUUUACUAUGCUACUAAACUUAUUGGGGACUUUUUUUUUUUAUAAACUGGGUUUGUUAACUGUAUAUCAAAGUAAAAUGCCACCUAAAACAUGCUAUGUUUUAGGUGUGUGAAUAUUGUUUUUCAAAGACUUGACUUUGAUUAACCAGAUCAACAGCUGUGAUGCAGGCACUGUUGAACUGUCAGUCCCCACUAAGGUUACUUUAUUGUUCUUUCUUAUGUUCAUAUUUAGUAUGUUUACUUCAUACAUUGACUUUUUUAUAUUUUUGUAAUGAUACUUUAUUGGUGAUUUUAAAAGACAUCUGAAUCGCUGUGUAAGUAUUAAGGGCCUAGCGGGAAGAGGCCUAUUUGUUUGAGUUGUGCACUAAAGGUAUGGUAAACUUUGGUGGUAUCAAUUAUCAUGCAUAUGAAAUUUGUUUUAUUUCUAUGUCAUUUUUUUUUAUGUUCAUGAUUAUUUUCUUAAAGAUUCAUUAUGUACAUAUGUAGCUAUGGCAGGGGUCGGCAACCUGCGGCUCUUUUGAUGUCAAGAUGCGGCUCUCCAGCUCCUUGCAAAAAUACUAAUAAUCUUAAUCAAAAACUAAAAUACUUGAAAUAAAAAAAUUAUUAGUGGUUCUUUAAAACUAGGGAAAUUGUGAAAAUUGUAACUUUUGGCUCCUCCACUUCAAAAGGUUGCCGACCCCUGAGCUAUGGCACUGAGAGUUAGGGAUCAUCCAUUUAUGAUGUCCACCCUGAUGUGUUGUUGGGUAAAGUAUCAAGAGGUAGUUUCACUGGCUCAGCACUUUCUUAUAUACAAGUAACCCUUGUAUCAACAUAGUUUCUAAUUAAUACACUCUGGAUUCAACCAGUAAUGUUCUAUGCAGUUUGCAAAUAUGAAUAACUGUUGUGUUCAUUAAGCUUUACUCUAAGAAAAAAAAUAUCUCUUUUUUUUUAGUUUUAAUUUAGGGAUUUAGAAGUUGGCAUUGGCUUAAGUGGUAAGUGAACUCAUAAAUGGUGGAUCCCUAAUAAUGUAAAGCAUUCUUUGUGAACAAAGUUGUAGAGAUGUAUUGUAUGCCAUCAUGUAGAGCCUUUUCCUGAAGUGGUUGGUCAUUGUAAAUUAUCUGCAGCAUUCUACAUCUGAUUGUACAAUGCCAUAUUUGGCGUUGCAAGAUAUUUGUUGAUUACCUUUCAUUCUCAGUAGCUCCACUGUUUUAAUUUCCUCUGAUUUCUAUUUUGAAUGGACUUUGACAAACUGUAUAUUUUGUAGAUAUGUAUUAUUAAAAAUAAAAUAAUUAUUUA